Molecule: ribosomal RNA, 447 nt
Filed under: Triticum aestivum (bread wheat)
Lineage: Eukaryota; Viridiplantae; Streptophyta; Magnoliopsida; Poales; Poaceae
Description: partial small subunit ribosomal RNA
Source: RNAcentral
AUGAAUUUCUUUUUUUUCUUACGGGAAAAACUUUCGAUCUAUUCAUCAACUGUCAAGGUAGUACAAAGAACACCAGCAAUAAUCGUUAUGUACAGGACCGUAGACCAAGUAGCGACGACUACAAAUGAAUUUCACUACAAAUUAGGCGUCAGAUUUUUUUUUAAAAAAUUUAUUUUGCGGAAGAAACGUUCAAGAGUUUCUUUGGUUUGGCAAGCGUGGCGACUAAAGGAAAUUACCGUAACAUUUGGUUUGUCACGGUUAAAAAUCCGAUGUUGCCGCUACAAAUUUGGUAGACAUCACGCGGUCGGUCUACGGGAAAGUGUGCAGAUCCUUGGAUUCCAGCGAGCUGACUGGACCGCGGGAAUUGGCCGGACGGUGGCAAAAAAGCUGACAGCUGACAUGGAAGGGGAUCCUUCGGCCGCGUCCGUCCCCUGUGUGUACGCGUAG